Molecule: ribosomal RNA, 497 nt
Filed under: uncultured bacterium
Lineage: Bacteria
Description: partial 16S ribosomal RNA
Rfam family: Bacterial small subunit ribosomal RNA
Source: RNAcentral
GAUGAACGCUGGCGGCGUGCCUAAUACAUGCAAGUCGAGCGAACGGACGAGAAGCUUGCUUCUCUGAUGUUAGCGGCGGACGGGUGAGUAACACGUGGAUAACCUACCUAUAAGACUGGGAUAACUUCGGGAAACCGGAGCUAAUACCGGAUGAUAUUUUGAACCGCAUGGUUCAAAAGUGAAAGACGGUCUUGCUGUCACUUAUAGAUGGAUCCGCGCUGCAUUAGCUAGUUGGUAAGGUAACGGCUUACCAAGGCGACGAUGCAUAGCCGACCUGAGAGGGUGAUCGGCCACACUGGAACUGAGACACGGUCCAGACUCCUACGGGAGGCAGCAGUAGGGAAUUUGCCGCAAUGGUCGAAAGCCUGACGGAGCAACGCCGCGUGAGUGAUGGAGGUCUUCGGAUCGUAAAACUCUGUUAUUAGGGAAGAACAUAUGUGUAAGUAACUGUGCACAUCUUGACGGUACCUAAUCAGAAAGCCACGGCUAACUACGUG